RNAcentral lists this ribosomal RNA (501 nucleotides) under uncultured bacterium. RNAcentral describes it as "partial 16S ribosomal RNA". It matches the Rfam family "Bacterial small subunit ribosomal RNA", at positions 30 to 523 of the family's 1533-position model. The record is from RNAcentral.
AUUGAACGCUGGCGGCAGGCUUAACACAUGCAAGUCGAGCGGGGGAAGGUAGCUUGCUACCGGACCUAGCGGCGGACGGGUGAGUAAUGCUUAGGAAUCCGCCUAUUAGUGGGGGACAACAUCUCGAAAGGGAUGCUAAUACCGCAUACGUCCUACGGGAGAAAGCAGGGGAUCUUCGGACCUUGCGCUAAUAGAUGAGCCUAAGUCGGAUUAGCUAGUUGGUGGGGUAAAGGCCUACCAAGGCGACGAUCUGUAGCGGGUCUGAGAGGAUGAUCCGCCACACUGGGACUGAGACACGGCCCAGACUCCUACGGGAGGCAGCAGUGGGGAAUAUUGGACAAUGGGGGGAACCCUGAUCCAGCCAUGCCGCGUGUGUGAAGAAGGCCUUAUGGUUGUAAAGCACUUUAAGCGAGGAGGAGGCUACUUUAGUUAAUACCUAGAGAUAGUGGACGUUACUCGCAGAAUAAGCACCGGCUAACUCUGUACCAGCAGCCGCCGUAA